GAUGAACGCUGGCGGCGUGCCUAAUACAUGCAAGUCGAGCGAACGGACGAGAAGCUUGCUUCUCUGAUGUUAGCGGCGGACGGGUGAGUAACACGUGGAUAACCUACCUAUAAGACUGGGAUAACUUCGGGAAACCGGAGCUAAUACCGGAUAAUAUUAUGAACCGCAUGGUUCAAAAGUGAAAGACGGUCUUGCUGUCACUUAUAGAUGGAUCCGCGCUGCAUUAGCUAGUUGGUAAGGUAACGGCUUACCAAGGCAACGAUGCAUAGCCGACCUGAGAGGGUGAUCGGCCACACUGGAACUGAGACACGGUCCAGACUCCUAAGGGAGGCAGCAGUAGGGAAUCUUCCGCAAUGGGCGAAAGCCUGACGGAGCAACGCCGCGUGAGUGAUGAAGGUCUUCGGAUCGUAAAACUCUGUUAUUAGGGAAGAACAUAUGUGUAAGUAACUGUGCACAUCUUGACGGUACCUAAUCAGAAAGCCACGGCUAACUACGUG
This 497-nucleotide ribosomal RNA is filed under the name uncultured bacterium. RNAcentral describes it as "partial 16S ribosomal RNA". It matches the Rfam family "Bacterial small subunit ribosomal RNA", at positions 28 to 507 of the family's 1533-position model. The record is from RNAcentral.